AUAGUCCACUGCCGAUGGGCU
Molecule: small nuclear RNA, 21 nt
Filed under: Arabidopsis thaliana (thale cress)
Lineage: Eukaryota; Viridiplantae; Streptophyta; Magnoliopsida; Brassicales; Brassicaceae
Description: snRNA_17715
Source: RNAcentral